GACAGUGAAGUGUCUGACACUGACCAUGUACCAGUGCCUGAGAACACUGGUAUGGAGGGGGAGAACGCACCUCUUUACUGCAUUUGUCGGAAACCAGACAUCAACUGCUUCAUGAUCCUUUGCCAUGAUAAAUUGGUCAGUUUACAACCAGGAGCCGUACACCUUAACCUCAGAGGCCAGGACAUCCAGGGGCAGUGUGAACACACACUUCUUUAAAUGGGAUGCAGGACUGACUAUAGAGGGCCACCCCCUCGCCAGACAACCAAGUGCUGUCCCUGUGCACGGCCAGUGUGAGAAGGACUCUCACUAAAGUCAACCCACACAAAGCUGCUGGACCAGACAAUAUACCCGGACGUGUGCUCGGAGCCUGUGCUGACCAGCUGACUGAUGUCCUAGCGGGCAUCUUUAACAUCUCCCUGAGUCAAGCUGUUGUGCCAAGUGCUUUAAAACCACCACCAUCUUACCUGUACCAAAGACAGCUACAGCCUCGCAGUUCGAAGACAAUGGACGAUGCGAUCUCAUUGGCACUCCACCUAGCCCUAUCACAACUGGAUCAAUGCAACGUCCACCUAAGAAUGCUGUUCACUGAUUUCAUCUUAGCAUUCAACACCAUCAUUGCCCAGCAGCUGAUCGGCAAGCUGGACCUGCUCAGACUUAACACCUCCACCUGCAACAGGAUCCUGGUCUUUCUUACUGAUGGACCCCAGACAGUACAGGUUGGAAACAUAAGAUCC
Oreochromis aureus is the source of this 734-nucleotide long non-coding RNA. NCBI's taxonomy places the organism in Eukaryota, Metazoa, Chordata, Actinopteri, Cichliformes, Cichlidae. The record is from Ensembl.